This 402-nucleotide ribosomal RNA is filed under the name Megoura crassicauda. RNAcentral describes it as "partial 12S small subunit ribosomal RNA". The record is from RNAcentral. Lineage: Eukaryota; Metazoa; Arthropoda; Insecta; Hemiptera; Aphididae.
GUUAUGUUCUUUAAAUUUAAAAAAUUUGGCGGUAUUUUAAUCUUAUUAGAGGAACCUGUUUAUUAAUUGAUAAUCCACGAUUAAUUUUACUUAUUUUAUUAAUUCAUAUAUCGCUGUCAUGAAUAUAUUAAAAAAUUUAUUUUCUUUAUUUAUAUUUAUAAUUUAUGUUAAGUCAAGAUGUGGUUUAUAAAUAAGUAUAUAAUGGGUUACAUUAAAUUAUAUUUUUGGAUUUUAAAUGAAAAUUAAAAUGAAAUUGGAUUUAAAAGUAAAUUUAUUUAUUUAAUUAAUAUGAAUAAAGAUCUAAAAUAUGUACAUAUUGCCCGUCAUUCUUAUUAAAAAUAAGACAAGUCGUAACAAAGUAAAUGUACUGGAAAGUGUAUUUAGAAAGAUUUAUUAUAUAAA